Long non-coding RNA from Esox lucius (northern pike), 752 nucleotides. RefSeq lists it as uncharacterized. The transcript has 4 exons. The record is from RefSeq and is a predicted model, not a curated record. Lineage: Eukaryota; Metazoa; Chordata; Actinopteri; Esociformes; Esocidae.
ACCAUUCACUCUCUCAGUCUCACUCACACUCUGCUGUAAUUUUCGGGAGGAGAUUUGGAAGAUUCUCGCUGUCUUCGUAGUCAAGGCUAAGUCAAGUUACAGCACUUCCAGAAGAUAUUGUUUUCCCCCUGAGGACGCUCUUGGAGGUUGCUGCAAUGGAGCAGAAAUUGGCAGACCCCACCUUCCACAAACAAGUGGUUGGCGUGGUGGCAGAAAUUGGAGGAAGAACAUUGGAUGAAGCCACCAGAAGAAUGAUGGCCUUCCUUUUAGACCACUCCCUAUCAAGAGAGUACAAUUUUGUUGGCUCAAACUGUUUCGGGGCUCAAACUGUUUGAGGUUGUAUAUGGAAGCUUGAAAAAAAAUGCCCUUACAAACCAGAUUACUAGAAGAGAUGCUGAAAAGGCAGUGUCAAAGUGGCUAAUUGGUGCCAGGGACAGGAGGAAGGAGGAAACCGUACAGCGAGGGCACGUGGUGGAGAGCAAGAUGGGUAAAAGUCAUUAUCAUUAAAACUGCAGUUAAAAAGUGUUUAGCCUACUUAUAUUUGUGUAAAACACAACAUUGUGCUUUUGUCAAACUUUAAACUUUUGUAGGCUAACCUACAACUGUCACCCAACCAAAAUCACAUACACACACACAGUUCAGUGGUUCUGGAGAUUUAUCUGAAUGACUCAUAAACAAAAAAUGUUGAAAAUGUGAAAAUAAAACAAAGUGGUUCUGAAAGGUUUUUUUUAGGAAGAAAAAUCUAUGAACCA